GGUAAAAUGGCUGAAAUUUAAAGCGAUAAACUGUAAAUUUAUUUAUGAAUAUAAAUUCUUUUACCA
This 66-nucleotide transfer RNA is filed under the name Lema sp. LEM01. RNAcentral's name for it is "tRNA-Tyr". It matches the Rfam family "tRNA". From Rfam's summary of the family: Transfer RNA (tRNA) molecules are approximately 80 nucleotides in length. The record is from RNAcentral. Lineage: Eukaryota; Metazoa; Arthropoda; Insecta; Coleoptera; Chrysomelidae.